RNAcentral lists this ribosomal RNA (452 nucleotides) under uncultured organism. RNAcentral's name for it is "partial 16S ribosomal RNA". It matches the Rfam family "Bacterial small subunit ribosomal RNA", at positions 329 to 797 of the family's 1533-position model. The record is from RNAcentral.
ACGUACACUCCUACGGGAGGCAGCAGUGGGGAAUAUUGGACAAUGGGCGCAAGCCUGAUCCAGCCAUGCCGCGUGAGUGAUGAAGGCCCUAGGGUUGUAAAGCUCUUUCACCGGUGAAGAUAAUGACGGUAACCGGAGAAGAAGCCCCGGCUAACUUCGUGCCAGCAGCCGCGGUAAUACGAAGGGGGCUAGCGUUGUUCGGAUUUACUGGGCGUAAAGCGCACGUAGGCGGACUAUUAAGUCAGGGGUGAAAUCCCGGGGCUCAACCCCGGAACUGCCUUUGAUACUGGUAGUCUUGAGUUCGAGAGAGGUGAGUUGAAUUCCGAGUGUAGAGGUGAAAUUCGUAGAUAUUCGGAGGAACACCAGUGGCGAAGGCGGCUCACUGGCUCGAUACUGACGCUGAGGUGCGAAAGCGUGGGGAGCAAACAGGAUUAGAUACCCUAGUAGUCCCA